Molecule: ribosomal RNA, 496 nt
Filed under: uncultured bacterium
Lineage: Bacteria
Description: partial 16S ribosomal RNA
Rfam family: Bacterial small subunit ribosomal RNA
Source: RNAcentral
GAUGAACGCUGGCGGCGUGCCUAAUACAUGCAAGUCGAGCGAACAGACGAGGAGCUUGCUCCUCUGACGUUAGCGGCGGACGGGUGAGUAACACGUGGAUAACCUACCUAUAAGACUGGGAUAACUUCGGGAAACCGGAGCUAAUACCGGAUAAUAUAUUGAACCGCAUGGUUCAAUAGUGAAAGACGGUUUUGCUGUCACUUAUAGAUGGAUCCGCGCCGCAUUAGCUAGUUGGUAAGGUAACGGCUUACCAAGGCAACGAUGCGUAGCCGACCUGAGAGGGGGAUGGGACACACGAGAAGAGAAACACGGCCCAGACCCACAGGGGGGGCAGCAGGGGGAAACUUUCCGAAAGGGGAAAAAGCAUAGAGGAAAAACGCCGGGGGAGAAAAAAGGGUCUGGGGAGUAAAAAACUUUUUAAUGAGGAAAAAAAAAAUGGGUAAGUAAAUUGCAAGGUUUGAAGGGACCAAAAACAGAAAGCCAGGCUUAACCAGUG